RNAcentral lists this ribosomal RNA (895 nucleotides) under Chaetomium globosum var. rectum. Its description in RNAcentral is "LSU rRNA". It matches the Rfam family "Eukaryotic large subunit ribosomal RNA", at positions 37 to 965 of the family's 3401-position model. The record is from RNAcentral. Lineage: Eukaryota; Fungi; Ascomycota; Sordariomycetes; Sordariales; Chaetomiaceae.
AGCAUAUCAAUAAGCGGAGGAAAAGAAACCAACAGGGAUUGCCCUAGUAACGGCGAGUGAAGCGGCAACAGCUCAAAUUUGAAAUCUGGCUUCGGCCCGAGUUGUAAUUUGCAGAGGAAGCUUUAGGCGCGGCACCUUCUGAGUCCCCUGGAACGGGGCGCCAUAGAGGGUGAGAGCCCCGUAUAGUUGGAUGCCUAGCCUGUGUAAAGCUCCUUCGACGAGUCGAGUAGUUUGGGAAUGCUGCUCAAAAUGGGAGGUAAAUUUCUUCUAAAGCUAAAUACCGGCCAGAGACCGAUAGCGCACAAGUAGAGUGAUCGAAAGAUGAAAAGCACUUUGAAAAGAGGGUUAAAUAGCACGUGAAAUUGUUGAAAGGGAAGCGCUUGUGACCAGACUUGCGCCGGGCGGAUCAUCCGGUGUUCUCACCGGUGCACUCCGCCCGGCUCAGGCCAGCAUCGGUUCUCGCGGGGGGAUAAAGGUCCUGGGAACGUAGCUCCUCCGGGAGUGUUAUAGCCCGGGGCGUAAUGCCCUCGCGGGGACCGAGGUUCGCGCAUCUGCAAGGAUGCUGGCGUAAUGGUCAUCAGCGACCCGUCUUGAAACACGGACCAAGGAGUCAAGGUUUUGCGCGAGUGUUUGGGUGUAAAACCCGCACGCGUAAUGAAAGUGAACGUAGGUGAGAGCUUCGGCGCAUCAUCGACCGAUCCUGAUGUUUUCGGAUGGAUUUGAGUAGGAGCGUUAAGCCUUGGACCCGAAAGAUGGUGAACUAUGCUUGGAUAGGGUGAAGCCAGAGGAAACUCUGGUGGAGGCUCGCAGCGGUUCUGACGUGCAAAUCGAUCGUCAAAUCUGAGCAUGGGGGCGAAAGACUAAUCGAACCAUCUAGUAGCUGGUUACCGCCGAA